UGUACUACUUCACAAGCGUGUUUUCGCUCAGUUCUACCGGAAGUUCUCGAAAUGAAGGUGUAUCCAAUCUUCUUAUUGCUUGUUAGCUGUUGACGCGGGAAUAUUUUCACUGAAAAGACUCUGGAAAGAUUUCCAUAUAACCCAUAGUAUACUGAAUGGAGGCGCCAGUCCCAGAGAUGUGUGCUGUUUGGCAGAAAGAGAAGUGAACGAAUGGCGCCAUCAAUGAAGUAAAACACCUGUUGUAA
Pocillopora damicornis (cauliflower coral) is the source of this 245-nucleotide long non-coding RNA. NCBI's taxonomy places the organism in Eukaryota, Metazoa, Cnidaria, Anthozoa, Scleractinia, Pocilloporidae. The record is from RefSeq and is a predicted model, not a curated record.